Molecule: long non-coding RNA, 182 nt
Organism: Hevea brasiliensis (rubber tree)
Lineage: Eukaryota; Viridiplantae; Streptophyta; Magnoliopsida; Malpighiales; Euphorbiaceae
Exons: 3
Source: RefSeq, a predicted model, not a curated record
GGCAAAGGACCUAGUGUUUGGGACACAUUUACUCAUGAGUAUCCAGAAAGGAUAAAGGAUCACAGCACCGGAGAUGUUGCAGUUGAUUUCUAUCACCGCUACAAAGAAGAUAUACAAAACGUGAAGAGUAUGGGUUUUAAUGCUUUCAGAUUCUCCAUUUCCUGGCCAAGAGUUAUACCUAG